GCAAGUCGAGGGGCAUCGAGAGAGUAGCAAUUACUUUUGUCGGCGACCGGCGGACGGGUGCGUAACGCGUAUGCAACCUACCUUAUACAGGGGGGAUAACCUUUUCGGAAAAGGGAGACUAAUACCGGCAUAACAUUACUUUUGAGGCAUCUUGAGGUAAUUAAAUCUUCGGAGGUAUAAGAUGGGCAUGCGUAGCAUUAGCUAGAUGGUGCGGUAACGGCGUACCAUGGCGACGAUGCUUAGGGGUUCUGAGAGGAAGGUCCCCCACACUGGUACUGAGAUACGGACCAGACUCCUACGGGAGGCAGCAGUGAGGAAUAUUGGUCAAUGGUCGGAAGACUGAACCAGCCAUGCCGCGUGCAGGAAGAAUGUCUUAUGGAUUGUAAACUGCUUUUGUAUGGGAAUAAUAAUAGCUUUGCGAAGUUAGAUGCAUGUACCAUACGAAUAAGGAUCGGCUAACUCCGUG
Molecule: ribosomal RNA, 466 nt
Filed under: uncultured bacterium
Lineage: Bacteria
Description: bacterial SSU rRNA
Rfam family: Bacterial small subunit ribosomal RNA
Source: RNAcentral